GGGAAUUUUCCGCAAUGGGCGAAAGCCUGACGGAGCAACGCCGCGUGAGGGAUGAAGGCCUCUGGGCUGUAAACCUCUUUUCUCAAGGAAGAAGAACUGACGGUACUUGAGGAAUAAGCCACGGCUAAUUCCGUGCCAGCAGCCGCGGUAAUACGGGAGUGGCAAGCGUUAUCCGGAAUUAUUGGGCGUAAAGCGUCCGCAGGCGGCCUUUCAAGUCUGCUGUUAAAGCGUGGAGCUUAACUCCAUUAAGGCAGUGGAAACUGUUGGGCUUGAGUGUGGUAGGGGCAGAGGGAAUUCCCGGUGUAGCGGUGAAAUGCGUAGAUAUCGGGAAGAACACCAGUGGCGAAGGCGCUCUGCUGGGCCAUAACUGACGCUCAUGGACGAAAGCCAGGGGAGCGAAAGGGAUUAGAUACCCCUGUAGUCA
RNAcentral lists this ribosomal RNA (424 nucleotides) under uncultured cyanobacterium. Its description in RNAcentral is "bacterial SSU rRNA". It matches the Rfam family "Bacterial small subunit ribosomal RNA", at positions 357 to 796 of the family's 1533-position model. Lineage: Bacteria; Bacillati; Cyanobacteriota. The record is from RNAcentral.